GAUGAACGCUGGCGGCGUGCCUAAUACAUGCAAGUCGAACGAACUUCCGUUAAUUGAUUAUGACGUACUUGUACUGAUUGAGAUUUUAACACGAAGUGAGUGGCGAACGGGUGAGUAACACGUGGGUAACCUGCCCAGAAGUAGGGGAUAACACCUGGAAACAGAUGCUAAUACCGUAUAACAGAGAAAACCGCAUGGUUUUCUUUUAAAAGAUGGCUCUGCUAUCACUUCUGGAUGGACCCGCGGCGUAUUAGCUAGUUGGUGAGGUAAAGGCUCACCAAGGCAGUGAUACGUAGCCGACCUGAGAGGGUAAUCGGCCACAUUGGGACUGAGACACGGCCCAGACUCCUACGGGAGGCAGCAGUAGGGAAUCUUCCACAAUGGACGCAAGUCUGAUGGAGCAACGCCGCGUGAGUGAAGAAGGGUUUCGGCUCGUAAAGCUCUGUUGUUAAAGAAGAACGUGGGUAAGAGUAACUGUUUACCCAGUGACGGUAUUUAACCAGAAAGCCACGGCUAACUACGUGCCAGCAGCCGCGGUAAUACGUAGGUGGCAAGCGUUAUCCGGAUUUAUUGGGCGUAAAGCGAGCGCAGGCGGUCUUUUAAGUCUAAUGUGAAAGCCUUCGGCUCAACCGAAGAAGUGCAUUGGAAACUGGGAGACUUGAGUGCAGAAGAGGACAGUGGAACUCCAUGUGUAGCGGUGAAAUGCGUAGAUAUAUGGAAGAACACCAGUGGCGAAGGCGGCUGUCUGGUCUGCAACUGACGCUGAGGCUCGAAAGCAUGGGUAGCGAACAGGAUUAGAUACCCUGGUAGUCCAUGCCGUAAACGAUGAUUACUAAGUGUUGGAGGGUUUCCGCCCUUCAGUGCUGCAGCUAACGCAUUAAGUAAUCCGCCUGGGGAGUACGACCGCAAGGUUGAAACUCAAAAGAAUUGACGGGGGCCCGCACAAGCGGUGGAGCAUGUGGUUUAAUUCGAAGCUACGCGAAGAACCUUACCAGGUCUUGACAUCUUCUGACAGUCUAAGAGAUUAGAGGUUCCCUUCGGGGACAGAAUGACAGGUGGUGCAUGGUUGUCGUCAGCUCGUGUCGUGAGAUGUUGGGUUAAGUCCCGCGACGAGCGCAACCCUUAUUACUAGUUGCCAGCAUUAAGUUGGGCACUCUAGUGAGACUGCCGGUGACAAACCGGAGGAAGGUGGGGACGACGUCAAAUCAUCAUGCCCCUUAUGACCUGGGCUACACACGUGCUACAAUGGAUGGUACAACGAGUCGCGAGACCGCGAGGUUAAGCUAAUCUCUUAAAACCAUUCUCAGUUCGGACUGUAGGCUGCAACUCGCCUACACGAAGUCGGAAUCGCUAGUAAUCGCGGAUCAGCAUGCCGCGGUGAAUACGUUCCCGGGCCU
This 1397-nucleotide ribosomal RNA is filed under the name uncultured bacterium. RNAcentral describes it as "bacterial SSU rRNA". It matches the Rfam family "Bacterial small subunit ribosomal RNA", at positions 28 to 1381 of the family's 1533-position model. The record is from RNAcentral.